GGCCGGGCCCGGUGCAAGGGCAUCGCCGUGAACCUGGUCAGGGCUUGACCGCAGCAGCCAUAAGCGGAUGGUGUUCGGUGCUGCCGGUGUCCUGGCCGUC
This 100-nucleotide signal recognition particle RNA is filed under the name Phycisphaerales bacterium. RNAcentral's name for it is "signal recognition particle sRNA small type". It matches the Rfam family "Bacterial small signal recognition particle RNA". Rfam says of the family: The signal recognition particle (SRP) is a universally conserved ribonucleoprotein involved in the co-translational targeting of proteins to membranes. Archaeal SRP consists of a 7S RNA and homologues of the eukaryotic SRP19 and SRP54 proteins. In most bacteria, the SRP consists of a 4.5S RNA and the Ffh protein (a homologue of the eukaryotic SRP54 protein). Lineage: Bacteria; Pseudomonadati; Planctomycetota; Phycisphaerae; Phycisphaerales. RNAcentral also lists the same sequence under 1 other name. The record is from RNAcentral.